GAUAGCAUUAUCACAUGAAGUUGUGGUGUCAUCAAAACAGUUCUGGUAGUUGAUUGAUAUAAGCAAAAGGUUCAAUUAUUCAGCCACAUAAGCACAAAAGGUAAUCUUUUCGCAUUUCACUUUGAAUGGAUUAAUGAAUCAAGGAACAAAAUGAUGCUUGCAUUGUGACCAAUGAUGGAAAAGAAUGCCUGUAUGGACUAUUUUAGGACCAUUUAAAAUCACUUAUUCAGAAUUUUAUAUUGGACAGAGUUUAGAAGGUCUUUAAUGUUUUCAAAAUCUGAGAUUUCGGAUAUCUGAUUUCUAUCUGAAAUUUAAGAGCUAUUUGUGUUCUUAUUUUGCCAUUCUGUUUAGUAUUUUGAGAUGCUGUAAACUAAGAAGGUUAGAGUUGAUUUACAUCCUAUGAUCUUUAUGAAGAUGCCGCCGAAUGUCUUAUAUUUAUGUUACAUGUUGCUAUAAUAACUGAAUAUUCUCUAGAAAUUGGCGUGAAACCUUUUCCCUUUUCCUAGGUAUUAUUUCACCUUCCUUCCUUUCUUUUUUUAUUCUUUUUUUUAUUACUAAGCUUUAACUCGCGGUUUUUGAGGUGCAUUUUGUUACUAUUGUUGUAUUCUUCUUUGAGAGGCUAUGAAGUUGGCUUAUUGUGAAUGAUCAGUGUGUUUUUUAAAGCCAAAGUUUUAUUGUAAAAUGUUCAGUUUUUAAUGUUUUAUUAAGAGUUUAAUUAUGCUCUUUAUUUCGCUCCAAACUUUAUAUUAAUAUUUUCUUAAAUUAUAGUACAAUUUUAUCAUUUAAAUUUUUUUAAUUAAUCAACCAUUUUACCAUGAAUAAUUAAGAAGUAAACGAGAUAAUUGACAAAUUUUGCCUUAGAUUUGUUUCCUUAUUGCAUAUUAGUAUAGCAAAAGGGUGAUGAUUGUUCCGCAAGUGCGUAUAAAUGUGAAACUCAGCAAGUCUAGAUAAGCAUUGAUACCAGUGUUUUUAAGGUAUCCUGUAUAACGCUAUUGAAUCUGAAGUUCCAAGCCAAUCAUCAACUUGUAACUUGGGAACGCUUAAAUGUUGGCUCAAGUCCUUUAAUCCGUGCACUAAACUAAAUAAAAAAAAGUACAAAUAAUGUUAAAGUGGUGGAAUAAACAAAUAAACAUUAGAAAAGAAUGCAUAAAUAAUUGAUAAAAGAAUACAUGAAGUAAGUUGUGGUGAACCUCUUGAAUCAAUGAAGUGAGUGCAUAAUCAAUGCUUUUGGUAGAAGAAGGUUUUGAUUUGCAGUUUCUCAAAGGUCUGAAAGAAGAAAUUCUUGAAGAAAUACCAUUUAUCGCAGAAUUGCUGGAAGACAUGAAUAACAUGAAUCACAAACAACCUGGUGAAGCAGAAGAAUGUGAGGCAAUAAAUCCAAACAUGAAUGGUGAUGCACAAACAGAAGGUGGAUGUCAAGUGUCUAGUUGAAAAGCUUCUUGAAUAUGUCAUGAAUAACCACCUCGUUGUUCGAGAUCCUGAGACUAUUCUGCAGGCAUUGAAAAUAUCGCUGGUUAGAAUUACUCUCAUCUGCAAUUUCACUCUCGUCACCUCUGCUAUUAAAUAGUAGAUGACCAUGGAGAUGGGUUUCUUGGGUUGGGGAAGAUGGAGGAGGCGAGCUCUGCCGCAUACUUGGUCUGGGAGGAUCUCAUGGCUGUGCUGCCCAACUAUGGCACUCCAAGGCCAGCAAAGAAGCUGCUCCAGGGCCUCAGUGGUUAUGCGGCUCCCGGAAGGAUCAUGGCCAUCAUUGGACCCUCUAGAUCUGGGAAGUCUACACUUCUUGAUUCAUUGGCAGGUUUGGGGAUUUUGCCUUUUUUUUUUUUGCUGAUUAUUUUGGGAGUUUGGUUUGAUUGGUGGUACUGGAACAUGGAGGUUGGGGAGAAAUGUGGUUCUCACUGGGAAGGUGUUGCUGAAUGGGAAGAAGAGUAGGCUUGAUUACGGUGUUAUGAAUCCUUCACAUUGAUGCAGGCUUACGUGACACAAGAAAAUGUUCUGCUUGGGACUCUGACAGUCAGAGAGACCAUCACUUACUCAGCUCACUUGAGGCUUCCUACCACAAUGAGAAAGAAGGAGGUGCAAGCUGUAGUGGAACGCAUCCAAAAGUUUAUCGUGCCACCAGAUGUUCCUCCUCUCAAAUGUAGAACUUAUGGUUGCUAUUUAUGUGACAUUUGGGCAAACAAUGAUGCUGUGAGAAAUGUUGUGCACAUCCAGAAGGGAACUGUGCCGGAAUAGAUCAGAUGCAAUGAUUAUUUGCAGUAUGCUAAUGAUAUUCCGAGUAGUGUAAAAUACCAGUACAUGCUCACAAGCCAAGGUUAUCCUGCUCUUGUUUACAAGUGAAGCUAGAUCUUCUGGCAAAACAUUGCUUCUCUUUGUUGAAUCAUCGUAUUACAGUUACUAACACCAGCUGAUGAGGAGGUGGCUAUAUGCAUUCAAUUAUGUAGGGUGCUGGUCAAACAGCUCCAGACUACAAGCCAAGGGAGAGCCUGGCUAUGAUUAAGAGAUGGCUUUCACACCAACCACUAUGGUUUUUUUUUAAUAAUAGAUGGCAAGUGUCCUCCACUUAAAAUUUUUGUUCUGCAAAAGUUAUCAGCUUGGAUCUUGCUUGUUCCCCAGCAACAAGGCUGCAAUACUGAAUUUUAAUGUUGCAUGUGGAAUUGAAUUUUAAUGUUUGUAUAGUUAUACUACAUGAUUUCCAAUGUAUAUAUAGGGCAUCUAUAUGUAUUGUUAAUUCAA
Dioscorea cayenensis subsp. rotundata (Guinea yam) is the source of this 2733-nucleotide RNA transcript. It is a transcript of the gene named ABC transporter G family member 1-like, with no coding region annotated. The transcript is spliced from 6 exons. NCBI's taxonomy places the organism in Eukaryota, Viridiplantae, Streptophyta, Magnoliopsida, Dioscoreales, Dioscoreaceae. The record is from RefSeq and is a predicted model, not a curated record.